AAACUAACAAGGAUUCCCCUAGUAACGGCGAGUGAAGUGGGAAGAGCUCAACUUUGUAAUCUGGCUGUUUCACAGUCCGAGUUGUAGUCUAAAGAAGCAUGAUCCGCGCCGGCCCUUGGGCAUGUCUGUUGGAACGCAGUGUCAAAGAGGGUGAUAAUCCCGUACAUACCAAGGACGACCGUGUGCAUUGUGGUCUGCUCUCUAAGAGUCGAGUUGUUUGGGAAUGCAGCUCUAAUUGGGUGGUAAAUUCCAUCUAAAGCUAAAUAUCGACGAGAGACCGAUAGCGAACAAGUACAGUAAUGGAAAGAUGAAAAGUAGCCUGCAGAGGCAAUGAAACAAUACGUGAAACCGUUUGUAGGGAAGCGAUGGAACCUUUUCACGCUGCAGGGGCUCAGCCUUUCUUCGGAUUGGUGUAUUCCCCUGUUUUGCGGACCAGCAUCAGUUUGCUUGGCAGUAUAAGGGUGUUUGGAACGUGGCUCCCACGGGAGUGUUAUAGCCUUUCACUGGAUGCUGCCUCGCAGACUGAGGACUGCAGUGCGCCUUCAUGGCAUAGUCUUCGGGCUACGAGCACUUAGGAUGCUGGGCGAAUGGGUUUCAACGAC
This 602-nucleotide ribosomal RNA is filed under the name Sterigmatomyces pulcherrimus. RNAcentral describes it as "eukaryotic LSU rRNA". It matches the Rfam family "Eukaryotic large subunit ribosomal RNA", at positions 62 to 648 of the family's 3401-position model. Lineage: Eukaryota; Fungi; Basidiomycota; Agaricostilbomycetes; Agaricostilbales; Agaricostilbaceae. The record is from RNAcentral.